This 523-nucleotide unclassified non-coding RNA is filed under the name Pentanema hirtum. RNAcentral describes it as "Inula hirta contains 3 external transcribed spacer, ETS". Lineage: Eukaryota; Viridiplantae; Streptophyta; Magnoliopsida; Asterales; Asteraceae. The record is from RNAcentral.
UUGGUUUGUUACCGGUGGUUGGCUCUCUGCUUUUGCAACAACUUCCACCUGGCAUUCCUCUUCAGUUUUGCGUAUGGGUCGUACCUUGCGCGCUUUUGGUUUCCUGUGUUGCUUACCUAUUAGACGGUAUUGAUGGAUAAUAUUUGUGUUGUUUUGUCUUUGCGUCGUUCGUCGCGCGAGAUAAAUCUUAAGGCUAAUUCUAUGAUCCACUUUGUUGACGUGCAUGCGUCGAUGUCGUGGCUCAUUGAGUUUUGCUUGGUGUCAUGGAUGCAGAAAAUGAUAUGGGCGAGGGGCUCUGCGGUCCUUCUUUGCCCUUGUUGAACGUUGUUACGUCUCUAAGAUGACUCCCUAGCCCGAAUUGGCUCGUACCACCGGGUAGGCGAUGUUGUUGAAGAGAAAUGACGGCGUUCUUGCUUCUCUAAGUCGAACGGCCUUGCCUGCAUGGGCUUGUACCGGCGGGUGGGCUAUGUCGAAGAGGGAUGCUACCUGGUUGAUCCUGCCAGUAGUCAUAUGCUUGUCUCAA